RNAcentral lists this non-coding RNA (179 nucleotides) under Pseudomonadales bacterium. Its description in RNAcentral is "6S RNA". It matches the Rfam family "6S / SsrS RNA". From Rfam's summary of the family: E. coli 6S RNA was the first non coding RNA to be sequenced, but its function was unknown until recently. It consists of 184 nucleotides that fold into an extended hairpin structure with a large single-stranded internal bulge. The 6S RNA specifically associates with RNA polymerase holoenzyme containing the sigma70 specificity factor. The record is from RNAcentral. Lineage: Bacteria; Pseudomonadati; Pseudomonadota; Gammaproteobacteria; Pseudomonadales.
AGCUCCCUGGGAUAUUGGCCAGUUGAAUAUGUUCUCGAGCCGAUAAACUUAACCCGGAGGCUCUGUCUCUUUGAUGUUGUUGAGCAGGUCCGCGCGACGGAAAGCCUUAUGCAUCUGACAGGCCACCACCUGAACUUAUGGGUUCAGGACUAUUUCGGCAGCGGUAUUUCGGAGAGCCA